AGAGUUUGAUCAUGGCUCAGAACGAACGCUGGCGGCAUGCCUAACACAUGCAAGUCGAACGAGACCUUCGGGUCUAGUGGCGCACGGGUGCGUAACGCGUGGGGAUCUGCCCUUUGCUUCGGAAUAACAGUUAGAAAUGACUGCUAAUACCGGAUGAUGACUUCGGUCCAAAGAUUUAUCGGCAAAGGAUGAACCCGCGUAGGAUUAGCUAGUUGUGGGGUAAAGGCCUACCAAGGCGACGAUCCUUAGCUGGUCUGAGAGGAUGAUCAGCCACACUGGGACUGAGACACGGCCCAGACUCCUACGGGAGGCAGCAGUGGGGAAUAUUGGACAAUGGCGAAAGCCUGAUCCAGCAAUGCCGCGUGAGUGAUGAAGGCCUUAGGGUUGUAAAGCUCUUUUACCCGGGAUGAUAAUGACAGUACCGGGAGAAUAAGCUCCGGCUAACUCCGUG
RNAcentral lists this ribosomal RNA (451 nucleotides) under uncultured bacterium. Its description in RNAcentral is "bacterial SSU rRNA". It matches the Rfam family "Bacterial small subunit ribosomal RNA", at positions 8 to 507 of the family's 1533-position model. The record is from RNAcentral.